RNAcentral lists this ribosomal RNA (431 nucleotides) under uncultured bacterium. RNAcentral describes it as "partial 16S ribosomal RNA". It matches the Rfam family "Bacterial small subunit ribosomal RNA", at positions 29 to 507 of the family's 1533-position model. The record is from RNAcentral.
AACGAACGCUGGCGGCAGGCUUAACACAUGCAAGUCGAGCGCCCCGCAAGGGGAGCGGCAGACGGGUGAGUAACGCGUGGGAACGUACCUUUUGGUUCGGAACAACUCCGGGAAACUGGAGCUAAUACCGGAUAAGCCCUAACGGGGAAAGAUUUAUCGCCGAAAGAUCGGCCCGCGUCUGAUUAGCUAGUUGGUGAGGUAACGGCUCACCAAGGCGACGAUCAGUAACUGGUCUGAGAGGAUGAUCAGCCACACUGGGACUGAGACACGGCCCAGACUCCUACGGGAGGCAGCAGUGGGGAAUAUUGGACAAUGGGCGCAAGCCUGAUCCAGCCAUGCCGCGUGAGUGAUGAAGGCCUUAGGGUUGUAAAGCUCUUUUGUCCGGGAAGAUAAUGACUGUACCGGAAGAAUAAGCCCCGGCUAACUUCGUG